RNAcentral lists this ribosomal RNA (241 nucleotides) under uncultured bacterium. RNAcentral's name for it is "partial 16S ribosomal RNA". It matches the Rfam family "Bacterial small subunit ribosomal RNA", at positions 29 to 286 of the family's 1533-position model. The record is from RNAcentral.
AAUGAACGUUGGCGGCGUGGAUUAGGCAUGCAAGUCGAACGAUAUCUGUAGCAAUACAGUGAAAGUGGCGAAAGGGAGAGUAAUACGUAGGUACCUGCCCUCGGGUCUGGGAUAGCUGCGGGAAACUGCAAUUAAUACCGGAUGACGUCUCUGGACCAAAGGUGUGAUUCCGCCAGAGGAUGGGCCUGCGUCCUAUCAGCUAGUUGGUGUGGUAAUGGCGCACCAAGGCUAAGACGGGUAC